Molecule: ribosomal RNA, 251 nt
Filed under: Enterobacter hormaechei
Lineage: Bacteria; Pseudomonadati; Pseudomonadota; Gammaproteobacteria; Enterobacterales; Enterobacteriaceae
Description: partial 23S ribosomal RNA
Rfam family: Bacterial large subunit ribosomal RNA
Source: RNAcentral
ACAGCCAGGAUGUUGGCUUAGAAGCAGCCAUCAUUUAAAGAAAGCGUAAUAGCUCACUGGUCGAGUCGGCCUGCGCGGAAGAUGUAACGGGGCUAAACCAUGCACCGAAGCUGCGGCAGCGACACUAUGUGUUGUUGGGUAGGGGAGCGUUCUGUAAGCCGUUGAAGGUGUGCUGUGAGGCAUGCUGGAGGUAUCAGAAGUGCGAAUGCUGACAUAAGUAACGAUAAAGCGGGUGAAAAGCCCGCUCGCCG